AACGAACGUUAGCGGCGCGCCUAACACAUGCAAGUCGAGCGAGAAGGGAGCAAUCCCUGUAAAGCGGCGCACGGGUGAGUAACACGUAGGUAAUCUACCUCGAGGUGGCGGAUAACCUUCCGAAAGGAGGGCUAAUACGGCAUAAGACCACGGCUUCGAAAGGGGCUGAGGUCAAAGCGGGCCUCUAUACAUAAGCUCGCGCCACGAGACGAGCCUGCGGCCCAUCAUGGUAGUUGGUAGGGUAACGGCCUACCAAGCCGAAGACGGGUAGCUGGUCUGAGAGGAUGAUCAGCCACACUGGAACUGAGACACGGUCCAGACUCCUACGGGUGGCAG
RNAcentral lists this ribosomal RNA (336 nucleotides) under uncultured bacterium. Its description in RNAcentral is "bacterial SSU rRNA". It matches the Rfam family "Bacterial small subunit ribosomal RNA", at positions 29 to 351 of the family's 1533-position model. The record is from RNAcentral.